GCCGGCGUAGCUUAAAUAAAGUAUGACACUGAAGAUGUUAUGAUGGACCCCUAAAAGUCCCGCAGGCA
Molecule: transfer RNA, 68 nt
Filed under: Bathyprion danae (fangtooth smooth-head)
Lineage: Eukaryota; Metazoa; Chordata; Actinopteri; Alepocephaliformes; Alepocephalidae
Description: tRNA-Phe
Source: RNAcentral